Long non-coding RNA from Amphiprion ocellaris (clown anemonefish), 2563 nucleotides. The record is from Ensembl. NCBI's taxonomy places the organism in Eukaryota, Metazoa, Chordata, Actinopteri, Pomacentridae.
CAGAGACAUCAGUGACAUCAGUGUCUGCUCCAGUGUCAGGCUUCAGGGUUGUUCUCCAGCAACCAGCCACUCUGUGGGAUCAUCAUGGGAAGCUGCACUUCAGGGCUAAAGAAGAAAAGUAAAGGUAAAAUUCCUUUUUCUUAUACCAUUACAGUCUACAUUUAUAUUACUAUUUAUAUUUAUAAUAUUCAGUGCACAUAGUAUAUAAAAACUGUGCGCAAAAUUGUUCUUUCAGGGGAUUUUUCACCAGAUAAUAAAAGCAGAGAUAAUAAGGUAGGCAUCCCUGCAUCAAUACCUUGUCUAUUCCUGUUUCCCAUAUAUCGUCACAGUUAUCACGUUGAGCUUCUCAUGGGACAUUCUGUGCUUUUCUGAUAACCCAGUCAGAGGUUAGAUUUGCAUACUGGAUGAGCAUUAUUGUGAGGCCUCUGUGGUAAAAUAAACUGUUUGCUGAAGCACAUCCAAAAGUGAGCUGGUUGCUGAAGCACUGUAUGGAAAUAUUCAAAUUAUGUGAAACACGUCUUCAGGAAAGAUGACUGACCGUCUCUUAUCUCUUGACAGCCUAACGAGGAUGUAACAUACGCCUCCAUUAACCACAGCACCUCCAAAGGAUCGAGAAGAGCCAGAAUUAACACUGACGAUGAUUGUGACUAUGCCAUAGUUAACGUCCCAGCGGCUCCUCAACCCGACCCUGAGUCCGAGUGCUCGUCCAAAGAGGAAUGUGCAGAUGAUUAUGUUCUGAUGGGAUAAAAAGAAACAAGAGGAAAAGUUCAUUUGGGCUACUGCAAGAUGCAGGACUAGUAAAUCAUAUCACAAACAGAAAAAGAUGCCUAAUAUCCCGUAGUCUCAUGACAAAACUUGUUUGCAGUUGAACAGUCAAGUUAACAGCUGAAUCAAGAUCUAAUCUUGAUCAUCACAGCUGAAAGCCGAAAAAGAACAUUCACACUCGACUGCAGCUGGUUGUGGACGUGUCUAUAGAUGUUUCUUUCCAUUUUUGAGGUAACUUAAUCCAGAACACAACUGUGGGGUUCCUACCUCAAAAAACAAACUUGCAUGUGAUGUCUUUGCUUAAGAAACUCACGAGAAGAUGAACUUUUUUUUUUCAAAUGUUCCGUGAUUCCUGAGACACCAUGAAAUUAACAAAAUACCUGGAAGUAGUCAGUCAAAGGAAGCUGGGCCUGGUGUUCGGACUGGAAUAAAAAGGUUUAAUCAGUUCUGAACAUCUCCAAGAACAGCAACAUCUUCAAAACCGCAUAUUCAUCGGCUUCUGAGAUGCUACAGCUACUAUCAACUGAAUGAAUGAAAACUCAGUGUGACUUUCAAAUUCAUCUAAAUGCACGAGUUGUCUUUGUCUUUAAAGUCAGCAUGUGUGGGACUGGUAAUUACCCCAUAUCACCAAAAUAUACAGCACAAAGUUUAAGAAUUUAUACAGUUUGUGUUUUUUUCAUGCCUGGAUUCAUGAAAAAAAGUGGCAUUAGCACAAAAUCACAAUGAAUAUAGUACUUUCAUGCAGCUGAUGUUUACACAAUACAGUGUUCCCAAAAGAUGCAAACCCAGCAGCUUCUGACAAACUGCUGUUAGUUACACAUUGACCUGAAUGUCUGAGAGACAUAAAGCCACUACACGUAGAACUUUUAAAUUAUUUGAUGGCAUCUGGUUUUUCUUCUGAAAAAAAAUCACCAACAUUGAUUAUCAAGCUCAUUUCUUUUUGCUUUCAAAGGGUGUAUGUGCAACAAAAAUGGUAGAACGACGAGAAGAGAGAAGAAACCCAUAAACAGACAGUAGAUACUAAGGAAGCACGGUGACUGUCUGUUGGCUAGCGUCAGUAUAUCUCUAUGAUUUCCUAUUGCAGAUGAAGGUUUUGAUCUUUGUCUAACAGCUUGUUCACAUUGUUGAAACAGAGCCAAAGCUUUGCUCCACCUUUAAGUUUCACAACCGACCCUCAUGCUUGAACUAUCAACCUUUUAUUAACAAUGCCAGUAAACCCAAACCUAAAAUAUUGCACAACUACUUUCACAAUGAAAUGCCAAAAUGUCAAUAGAACUUGUGCCAUUGUCAAAUUUAUGAUAUGAAUUUACACAGCAUGUAAUUCGUAAGAACUACCGGACACUUCCUGAAUAUGCUAGAAACAUAUGUUCAAGGCUAAAGAAUUGACAUGUUUUGUUGUUUUUUUUGUGUGUGUACAUUGAUGCAUCUGACAGAAUUAUUUAUAUGUUUGACUGGAUCUGUAAGAAAGGGUAGAAUAGUGUCAUUUACUGUAAGUUGAUUUAGUUUCAGUGUAGUUUAAUUGAUUUGUUUUAUUGAUUAAAUGUUUACAGCACAUCGCUUUUGCUCAUUAUUAGAAUCUCAACCUAAUCUCUUAAAAUGUUUAAAAGAGGUCAUAAAAGUAAUGUCUUUGUCACGUUGUCGGCUGCUGCUUUACAGUGGAAAUCAUGUUAAUGCGUUCUCCAUAUUAAAGAGAAUCCAAAUGAGUCAUGUUGAUGUAGACAGAAAUACAUUUGUUAGGCUAAAACAGUUUCCCCUUUUUGUAUACAGAAAUAAAAACUACUGAGAUGAUGCUCAGGCA